RNA transcript from Ziziphus jujuba (common jujube), 715 nucleotides. RefSeq lists it as uncharacterized. NCBI's taxonomy places the organism in Eukaryota, Viridiplantae, Streptophyta, Magnoliopsida, Rosales, Rhamnaceae. The transcript has 5 exons. The record is from RefSeq and is a predicted model, not a curated record.
UUUUUUUUUUUUUUUUUUUUAAUAUCUCAAAGCUAGAACACAUUUUUGUGCUUUAGUUUGGUCCGAUGGUGUUUGAAUUCUGCCUUUGGGGAUUUUUGACGGAAGCAUAACAAAGAUGAUAAUGGGCGGAAAUGAGACAAUUAACCAAGGUUCGCACUGGGUUACUUAUGAAACGGCUUUUCCCACAUUUGAGAAUUGUAGAAAAGAAGCAAAUUCUUAUUUUGGAAUGGAACCGACACAAGUGAAGCUUCUAAAGCAGGAAAAAGUUGCAUGCUUAGAUGAUAAUGAUGCCCGACUUACUCUAGAUCCACAUAAUAGGUACAGGAUACAGACCAAAACCUCAUAGCCAUGGUGAUGUGCAUUCCCUACUAUAUUCCAGUGGCCUCCUAAAUUAUUGGAAUUGCAGAAUUAUGAAACGUUUGAGCCAAACAAUUACCAUUUAUGGGACUGAUGCAUUUCAUUACUAUUAUGGAGAACAAACACCAUGAAGGAGCUUGAAGAUUUGGAAUUUCUGAUAUGUAGAAGAGAUCAGAGAAGAUGACCAUAAAGAUGUUCUAUAAAUAUGCAACUAUACAAGUGACAUGUAAAAAAAUACAUGACAACAAACAAUUGGAAUUGUGUUUUGAUAUUUAUAACACUGCAUAUAGUUGUGUUUUAUUUUGAAUUUGUGUAUGUAAAGAGUUUUAUAUUUAUUAAUGAAAAUGAACAAGUUUUG